RNAcentral lists this ribosomal RNA (402 nucleotides) under uncultured bacterium. RNAcentral describes it as "bacterial SSU rRNA". It matches the Rfam family "Bacterial small subunit ribosomal RNA", at positions 362 to 758 of the family's 1533-position model. The record is from RNAcentral.
UUUUGGACAAUGGGCCCAAGCCUGAUCCAGCCAUGCCGCGUGAGUGAAGAAGGCCUUCGGGUUGUAAAGCUCUUUCGGCGGGGACGAAACGGUUCGUGCUAAUACCACGGGCUACUGACGGUAUCCGCAGAAGAAGCACCGGCUAACUACGUGCCAGCAGCCGCGGUAAUACGUAGGGUGCAGGCGUUAAUCGGAAUUACUGGGCGUAAAGCGUGCGCAGGCGGUUUGUUAAGACAGGUGUGAAAUCCCCGGGCUUAACCUGGGAAUUGCGCUUGUAACUGGCAGACUGGAGUGUGGCAGAGGGGGGUGGAAUUCCAAGUGUAGCAGUGAAAUGCGUAGAUAUUUGGAGGAACAUCAAUGGCGAAGGCAGCUUCCUGAAUAAUACGACACUGAGGUGCGAAA